AUGAAAUACGUCAAUGGGUGGACUGUGCCGGGUUUAGCGAGGAUUUUGUCGUUAAGAAACAAAGCAAAGACCAUAAAAAAAUCUAUAAUUGUAAAUAAAUAUGCAGAAGGCAAUGGGAUAAAGGUGAGUAAAGAAAAGAUAAAGAUCGUUGCUCUUAAUGCAAGAUGUUCAGAACGCUUAAACAAAGAUUCGGUAAAGAAUAAAGAUGCAAAAAUUGCAGGAAGAUAAAUAAAUAAAGGCCAAUACUCGUUUCGGAACCAGCUCAUACCACAAUCCAGUACAUUUCCAAGAAUGUAUGCCCAAAUGUUGGGAAUUACAAAUAUUCCUGCAAUGGAAAUAACUUGAGCGAUCAAAGCAACAGUAAAAGAUCCCUCAGAACCACGUAGAGUAAGUAGAAUACCCAACCCUCCAACUAAAGUAUUCAAAAUCUUAGACGUGAGCUUGGAGUACAUGAAGAAAAGACUGUUAAAAACUGAAAAAUACACGGUACCA
Schizosaccharomyces pombe (fission yeast) is the source of this 492-nucleotide non-coding RNA. NCBI's taxonomy places the organism in Eukaryota, Fungi, Ascomycota, Schizosaccharomycetes, Schizosaccharomycetales, Schizosaccharomycetaceae. The record is from the annotation of a GenBank genome assembly.